CCUUUGAUGUCCUCCAGCUGCUCUGCCUCGACUAUCAGUGAUUAACGGAGUUUCCUGAUGGACAGAAGGCUUUUCUUGUUGCUAAAGUAAUGCUAAACGCUAACUGCUGCUAACUGCAUAGCUGCCCCUGUAUAUUGUUGGACUGGGAUCUAUGAG
This is a long non-coding RNA of Sander lucioperca (pikeperch), 156 nucleotides long. RefSeq lists it as uncharacterized. The record is from RefSeq and is a predicted model, not a curated record. Lineage: Eukaryota; Metazoa; Chordata; Actinopteri; Perciformes; Percidae. The transcript has 4 exons.